RNAcentral lists this ribosomal RNA (274 nucleotides) under uncultured bacterium. Its description in RNAcentral is "partial 16S ribosomal RNA". It matches the Rfam family "Bacterial small subunit ribosomal RNA", at positions 523 to 796 of the family's 1533-position model. The record is from RNAcentral.
AUACGGAGGGUGCGAGCGUUACUCGGAGUCACUGGGCGUAAAGCGUCCGUAGGCGGUCGGGUAAGUCGGGUGUGAAAGCCCCGGGCUCAACCUGGGAAGUGCACCCGAUACUGCUCGACUCGAGUGCGGGAGAGGAUGGCGGAAUUUCCGGUGUAGCGGUGAAAUGCGUAGAGAUCGGGAGGAACACCAGUGGCGAAGGCGGCCAUCUGGCCCGCAACUGACGCUGAGGGACGAAAGCGUGGGGAGCAAACAGGAUUAGAUACCCUGGUAGUCC